GCUGUUCACUCGAAUACAGUAAGUUGGGCAAUCCUGACAUAGAAUCCGGCGUCAGACGUUGUCUAGCAAGCAUGCCACUUGUUUGAUUUAAUAGAAACAAUAUUCGUCUCUCCGCCGCUUACCCGAGUGUCAAUAUCUCUAAUCGCUGUAGCUGCAGCUAUACAGCAUAAUAUCCGGUAAAAUACUUUUUCUCAUUCCAUCUUUAAAUUAAUUAAACGACAUCGUAUCGAGUGUUUUUGUUUGAAAUGUGUAACUUAAAAUACACGCGGUACAUUGAUUUAUGCGAUUAACGAAUUCCUAUAGCCGCGAUUGACGUUAGUCGACUUAAAUUUAUUAUAUACCCGUCCAAUAAUACACGCGUUACGUCAACAGACAAUCGCAAAUAUUUGAAAUUUUCCGAUACCCCACCCGGCGGUAGGUGAAAAUAACACUUAGACGGCUACACACGAUGAAUAGCGCAGAUGCGUUGACCCGUUUAAGAACAAAAAAUCGUUAUUUUUCUCCAUAACGCCGUGGACGGCGAUCGUACGCAGAUCGUUGUAAUACGGCGAUCCCACCUCGGCCGUUCAAUUGGUACAUAUUUAUUAAAUAUUAUAUAUACAAACACGCACCCGUGAAUAACACUCGACAUAUGGCCCUUGUACUCUAAUAAUAAUAUAUAUAACAUAUAAUAAUUAUUAUAUCGAGGACGACGACCACUGCGCUCGGCGGUCACUCACACGCCGGUCCGCGUCAUAAAUAUACGCGUAUACCGCGAUUUUCAUACCGUAACCGCGGCGGCAUCGGCAGUGGUCACCGUGGCCGUCAUGCAGCAGGAACAACCGCAGCGGCGGUGGUCCGCCGUCUCGGCGAUCGGCAUCGGCGCCAUCGCGCUGUUCCUGGCCGUCGUGUUGUUCGCCAUCGUACAGAACUACUGUUGUUCGCCGCGAAUCGACAAGGCCCUUUACCUGUCGCCGAUGAUACGCGACGGUCGGGUCCACGAGGCGCGCGCGAAAUGCAAAGUGCACCUCCACAACCGCACGGCCGAAAGUUGCGCCGGUUACCUGACCGUGGACGAGGCGCACGGUUCCAACAUGUUCUUCUGGUUCUUCCCGGCCGCCAACGGACAGCCGGACGCGCCCGUCGUGCUGUGGCUGCAGGGCGGACCGGGCGCCAGCAGCCUGUACUCGGUGUUCAACGAGCACGGCCCGUUCACGGUGAACGAGGCCGGCGAUCUGCUGCCGCACAAGCACACGUGGACGGACACGCUGUCCGUGCUGUACGUGGACAACCCGGUGGGCACGGGGUACAGCUUCACCGGCGACGAGAAGGCUACAGCACCAACCAGACGGCCGUCGCCAGGAACAUGUACGCCGCCCUGGUGCAGUUCUUUGAGCUGUACCCUGAGUACCGGCUCAACGAUUUCUACGUGACCGGCGAGUCGUACGCGGGCAAGUACGUGCCGGCCGUGUCGUACGCCAUCCACCAGAACAAUCCCGGAGCUCAGGUCAAAAUAAACCUCAAGGGACUGGCCAUCGGCAACGGACUUAUCGACCCCGUAAACCAGAUGGUGUACAGCGAAUAUUUGUCCGAGCGAGGGCUCAUCGACGAGGACGGCAAACGGUUGUUCAAAGAACAGGAGGACUUGGCCCGAGAUCGAAUCGCCUCGGGCGAUUACAGGGCCGCGUACGACGCGAUGACCAAGAUGAUGAUCACCACUCCGUCGCUGUAUCGGCAGCUGACCGGCAUGCGGAACAUCUACAACGUGGUGUGGAACAAGAACCCGAUACCUUACGAGGGCGGCCUGUGGGACCGGUACGUGCAACGUCAGGGACGAGCUGCGUUGCACGUGGGCCGGCGCCCGUGGUCGACGGUGGACGUGGUCUACGACCGUUUGAAGUACGACAUACCGCUGUCCGUGGCCCCGUGGCUCGCCGAGCUCCUGGACGCCGGCCGGUACCGCGUGCUCCUCUACUCCGGACAGUUGGACGCGAUCGUGCCGUAUCGCGGCACGGUGAACGUGGCCAGGGCGCUCCGGUGGACAGGAGCCGAGCAGUUUAGGAACGCGACGCGAUCCAUCUGGAGGCCCGACUGUUCUCCACAGUGCUCCGUCUCCGAAGUGGCCGGCUACGUGACCGCGUACGGCCCGCUCACCGUGCUGUUGGUCAGGAACGCCGGUCACAUGGUACCGUACGACCAACCUGCUUGGGCCCUCGACAUGAUCGACCGAUUUACAUCUGGCAAACCGUUUCAUUGAAACUCCGCAGGCCCGUGACGCAUCCCCUUCCUACCAUAAAAUCAAACAAACAGUUACAAUAUUAUAUAGCUGUAGUAUCGAAUUUAUACUUAUAUCCAAAUAGUCAUUAAUCGUAACUAUUGUUUUAUGGAUGUUUGACAAUUUUUUUUUUGAAAAUUUGUUUAUAAAUGCUAUUCUUAAUUUAAGAUUUGCUGUAGUUUAAGAUUUUCGUUGAGGCGAGACUGGCGCUCUCAAAAGUUCGCGAUUGUACAGUUAUAAUCUAUAUAUAUAUAGCCAUUACUGGUGAAGAUUUGGGCCGUCAUCUAACAGUAUGCAAGACUUUUGUGCGUGAUAAACUUCUUUCGCUAUUUCCAGAAUAUAUUAUAACAAAAUAUAAAUCUAAGUUUGUAUAAUAAUAUAAAUAUAUUAUAAAUUUAAUGUAACCAUGUAGGAGGAUCAUAUCACAUUCUCAAAAUUGUGUAAUGACAACAUAGUGCAUUAAAAAACUUUUUUAUACACUUAUUGUGUAUUCAAUUAACAUAUUUCACAUGCUGUAAACAUUUAUGUAUUAUUAUUACCAUUUAUUGUAUAAUGUUAUAUUACAGUACCUGUAAAAAAUGCGUAAGUUAUACCUAUUUAUGUAUCAGA
This is an RNA transcript of Aphis gossypii (cotton aphid), 2863 nucleotides long. It is a transcript of the gene named venom serine carboxypeptidase-like, with no coding region annotated. The transcript is spliced from 2 exons. NCBI's taxonomy places the organism in Eukaryota, Metazoa, Arthropoda, Insecta, Hemiptera, Aphididae. The record is from RefSeq and is a predicted model, not a curated record.